RNAcentral lists this long non-coding RNA (816 nucleotides) under Pogona vitticeps (central bearded dragon). Its description in RNAcentral is "lncRNA (ENSPVIG00000002902.1)". Lineage: Eukaryota; Metazoa; Chordata; Lepidosauria; Squamata; Agamidae. The record is from RNAcentral.
GCAAAACCAAAAUAUAGUGACACUUUAACAUUAACUGUUAUUUUUUCAUGUGAUCUUUUGUGGAUCAUGUCCAUUUCUUCAGACACUCUGAGGUGUCUUGGGGAAGUGCGGUUAAACACACUUUGAAAUGUAACAGUUCACCUUUAAAGUGCUGCUACAUUUUUGUUUUUUGUUGUUGUUUUGCAUUUGUCUGUAUUUAUUUAAACAGACUAACACAGCUACCUCUUUUGAGUAAAUGUCUUUCCCUUCUCAUCCUUAAUGUUUCAGGUGUUCCAACGAAAUUGAUCGGCUUUGCCCUGCAGGGAGAACCUGUUUCAAACAAGCAUGGAACUCCGCAAGAUGCUCACGGACACAACUGUUGUGAUCACGAGCAUCUAUUGCUUUUAACAGCGUGAAGCGAAAUGCCGUUGUCUCCUAAUUCAGCACAUCGAGAGGCAUGAAAAUCCUGAGAGAAGGAGGCAGGCGAAGCGGGAACUCUGCCCAGCACCUCCUACUCCCGACCCACCCUCUGCGUAGAGAUAAAGACAAGACUUGCCAACAAAGGGCCACAGUCUAUAGGUAUGUCUGUGAGAAGGCGGAUCAUCCAGUGAAUACGAACAGAGCGAGCUGAAUGUACAAACUGACAUCCUGAACCCCUACUCCAGGAGUGAGCAGAACUGCUGAUAUGCACACAGAGCACAACGGGAAGUAUAGUGGCAGAAGUUUAUGAGCAUAGAUUACAAAUUUUCAGAGAAGCAAUAGUAUGAUUAACACAGACAAUCAACUUUCGGAGUGCAGUUAAAUAAACACCACGGCUGUAUGUAGACUGAUUAUCUA